GAGUUCCUCCAUCUACAAAUUUGUUUGAGGGCUUCUUCUCUUUACUUUACUUAUUUAUAUUUGCUAUAUUUGCUUAUGUGAGAAGCUUGUAUUUGAUUUAAACUCUUGUUUUAAUAUCUUGUAACUUGAUUCAAUCAAGGGAUUGAAUCAAGGGGUUAAGGUUUGUUGGUGAGCCAAAGGGAAAAACCAACGUUGUAAGGUUGUGGUUGGUGAGCCUUUGGGAAAACCAACUGGGUUGAUUGUGAACCCGAAAAACAAUCGUUGUAAGGUUGUGGUUGGUGAGCCUUUGGGAAAACCAACUGGGUUGGAUUGUGAGCCCGUGAAAACAAUCGGUUGGUUCUAGUCGGUGAGCCUGUGAAAACCGACCGAGUUCGUUGUGAUCUCGCAAAACAACAAGUUGGGUUGUGAGCUUGUAAAACAACCGACUGUAAUCUGAG
This 437-nucleotide long non-coding RNA is filed under the name Phoenix dactylifera (date palm). Its description in RNAcentral is "long non-coding RNA (PDAC_LNC019503)". Lineage: Eukaryota; Viridiplantae; Streptophyta; Magnoliopsida; Arecales; Arecaceae. The record is from RNAcentral.